This 1546-nucleotide ribosomal RNA is filed under the name Vibrio cholerae. Its description in RNAcentral is "bacterial SSU rRNA". It matches the Rfam family "Bacterial small subunit ribosomal RNA". The record is from RNAcentral. Lineage: Bacteria; Pseudomonadati; Pseudomonadota; Gammaproteobacteria; Vibrionales; Vibrionaceae.
GUGCAAGGCGGAGCUACCAUGCAGUCGAGCGGCAGCACAGAGGAACUUGUUCCUUGGGUGGCGAGCGGCGGACGGGUGAGUAAUGCCUGGGAAAUUGCCCGGUAGAGGGGGAUAACCAUUGGAAACGAUGGCUAAUACCGCAUAACCUCACAAGGAACAAAAGGCUAGGGGAACUUCUUAGGGCCCUUUGCGCUUACCGGGAAUAAUGUCCCCAGGUGGGGAAUUAAGCUUAGUUGGGUGAGGGUAAAGGGCUUCCAUCCAAGGCGGACGGAUCCCCUAGUCUGGUUCGGAAAGGAUGAUUCAGCCACCACUGGAAAUUGGAGACACCGGUCCCAGAAUUCCUACGGGAAGGCAGCCAGUGGGGGAAUAUUGGCACCAAUGGGCGCCAAGCCUGGAUGCAAACCAUGCCGCCGUGUAUGAAGAAAGGCCCUCGGGGUUGUAAAAGUACUUUCCAGUAGGGAAGGAAAGGUGGUUUAAGUUUAAUACCCUUAAUCAUUUGGACGUUACCUACAGAAAGAAGCACCCGGCUAAAUUCCGUGCCAGCAGCCGCGGUUAAUACGGAGGGGUGCAAGCGUUAAUCGGAAUUACUGGGCGUAAAGCGCAUGCAGGUGGUUUGUUAAGUCAGAUGUGAAAGCCCUGGGCUCAACCUAGGAAUCGCAUUUGAAACUGACAAGCUAGAGUACUGUAGAGGGGGGUAGAAUUUCAGGUGUAGCGGUGAAAUGCGUAGAGAUCUGAAGGAAUACCGGUGGCGAAGGCGGCCCCCUGGACAGAUACUGACACUCAGAUGCGAAAGCGUGGGGAGCAAACAGGAUUAGAUACCCUGGUAGUCCACGCCGUAAACGAUGUCUACUUGGAGGUUGUGACCUAGAGUCGUGGCUUUCGGAGCUAACGCGUUAAGUAGACCGCCUGGGGAGUACGGUCGCAAGAUUAAAACUCAAAUGAAUUGACGGGGGCCCGCACAAGCGGUGGAGCAUGUGGUUUAAUUCGAUGCAACGCGAAGAACCUUACCUACUCUUGACAUCCAGAGAAUCUAGCGGAAGACGCUUGAAGUGCCUUCGGGGAGCUCUGAAAACAGGUGCUGCAUGGCUGUCGUCCACCUCCUGUUGUGAAAAUGUUGGGUUAAGUCCCCGCAACGAGCGCAACCCCUUAUCCUUGGUUUGCCAGCACCGUAAUGGGUGGGGAACUCCAAGGUAAAACUGCCGGUUGAAUAAACCCGGAAGGAAGGUGGGGGGACGACCUUCAAGUCAUUCAUGGGCCCUUUACAAAUUAGGGAUUAACAACACGUGCUAAAAAUGGCCGUUAAUAAAGAGGGCAGCGACCCCUAUCCCCCUAGGUAGGAGCGAAUCUCACAAAGUACGUCGUAGUCCGGAUUGGAGUCUGCAACUCGACUCCAUGAAGUCGGAAUCGCUAGUAAUCGCAAAUCAGAAUGUUGCGGUGAAUACGUUCCCGGGCCUUGUACACACCGCCCGUCACACCAUGGGAGUGGGCUGCAAAAGAAGCAGGUAGUUUAACCUUCGGGAGGACGCUGCCACCUUUGUCAAUGGUG